Molecule: non-coding RNA, 99 nt
Organism: Acanthosepion pharaonis
Lineage: Eukaryota; Metazoa; Mollusca; Cephalopoda; Sepiida; Sepiidae
Source: the annotation of a GenBank genome assembly
UACAGCCAUAUCACGUUGAAACACCAGUUCUUGUGUGAUCACCGAAGUUAAGCAACGUCGAGCCUGGUCAGUAACUAGAUGGUUGAUCGCUUGGGAAUA